AAGGACCUUCUUCAAUUGGAACUUGAUAGUGGACUUAACCUCGGUGAUUUUACCGUAAAGGUCGUCAGCAUGGGAGACAGGGGAAGGGAACUUACCAGCCUUGGAAAGACCGGGACCCAACAGACGAGGAAUUUGCUUGAUGAGGACUUCAGAAGCAAUGAAAGCAUCAUACUUCUUGGCCAACUUCUUGACAAGCUUCUUGUUCUUGUUAAGCUUUUUCAAGUCAUCGACGGACAUAGCAUCGACACCACCGUGCUUGGCACGAUCCAAAUCAUGGGCAUCACCGAGAAUGCAAAUGGCCAUGUUGGGACGAGGAACAUUGGGCAACUUGAUAGUACCGGAGAA
Molecule: non-coding RNA, 345 nt
Organism: Schizosaccharomyces pombe (fission yeast)
Lineage: Eukaryota; Fungi; Ascomycota; Schizosaccharomycetes; Schizosaccharomycetales; Schizosaccharomycetaceae
Source: the annotation of a GenBank genome assembly